UGGGGAAUAUUGCACAAUGGGCGCAAGCCUGAUGCAGCCAUGCCGCGUGUAUGAAGAAGGCCUUCGGGUUGUAAAGUACUUUCAGCGGGGAGGAAGGUGUUGAGGUUAAUAACCUCAGCAAUUGACGUUACCCGCAGAAGAAGCACCGGCUAACUCCGUGCCAGCAGCCGCGGUAAUACGGAGGGUGCAAGCGUUAAUUGGAAUUACUGGGCGUAAAGCGCACGCAGGCGGUCUGUCAAGUCGGAUGUGAAAUCCCCGGGCUCAACCUGGGAACUGCAUUCGAAACUGGCAGGCUAGAGUCUUGUAGAGGGGGGUAGAAUUCCAGGUGUAGCGGUGAAAUGCGUAGAGAUCUGGAGGAAUACCGGUGGCGAAGGCGGCCCCCUGGACAAAGACUGACGCUCAGGUGCGAAAGCGUGGGGAGCAAACA
RNAcentral lists this ribosomal RNA (427 nucleotides) under uncultured bacterium. Its description in RNAcentral is "partial 16S ribosomal RNA". It matches the Rfam family "Bacterial small subunit ribosomal RNA", at positions 355 to 774 of the family's 1533-position model. The record is from RNAcentral.